Molecule: ribosomal RNA, 442 nt
Filed under: uncultured bacterium
Lineage: Bacteria
Description: bacterial SSU rRNA
Rfam family: Bacterial small subunit ribosomal RNA
Source: RNAcentral
CAGUGGGGAAUCUUGCGCAAUGGACGAAAGUCUGACGCAGCGACGCCGCGUGCGGGAUGAAGCUCUUCGGGGUGUAAACCGCUGUUGCCCGGGACGAAUCCCUGGUUCAUCCAGGUUGACGGUACCGGGUGAGGAAGCACCGGCUAACUCUGUGCCAGCAGCCGCGGUAAUACAGAGGGUGCGAGCGUUGUCCGGAAUCACUGGGCGUAAAGGGCGCGUAGGUGGCUUGGUAAGCGUGUGGUGAAAGCUCGGGGCUCAACCCCGAGUCUGCCGUGCGAACUGCCGAGCUCGAGCAUAGUAGAGGCAGAUGGAAUUCCGGGUGUAGCGGUGGAAUGCGUAGAGAUCCGGAAGAACACCGGUGGCGAAGGCGGUCUGCUGGGCUAUUGCUGACACUGAGGCGCGACAGCGUGGGGAGCGAACAGGAUUAGAUACCCCGGUAGUC